Molecule: ribosomal RNA, 468 nt
Filed under: uncultured bacterium
Lineage: Bacteria
Description: partial 16S ribosomal RNA
Rfam family: Bacterial small subunit ribosomal RNA
Source: RNAcentral
GACGAACGCUGGCGGCGUGCUUAACGCAUGCAAGUCGAACGGAGAGGCCCUGCUUUUGUGGGGUUCUCGAGUGGCGAACGGGUGAGUAACAAGUGAGUAACCUGCCCUUGACUUUGGGAUAACUUCAGGAAACUGGGGCUAAUACCGGAUAGGAGCUCCUGCUGCAUGGUGGGGGUUGGAAAAUUUCUGCGGUUGGGGAUGGACUCGCGGCUUAUCAGCUUGUUGGUGGGGUAGUGGAUUACCAAGGCUUUGACGGGUAGCCGGCCUGAGAGGGUGACCGGCCACAUUGGGACUGAGAUACGGCCCAGACUCCUACGGGAGGCAGCAGUGGGGAAUAUUGCACAAUGGGCGGAAGCCUGAUGCAGCAACGCCGCGUGCGGGAUGUCGGCCUUCGGGUUGUAAACCGCUUUCGCCGGGGACGAAGCGUGAGUGACGGUAAUGGGUAAAGAAGCACCGGCUACCUACGUG